This 534-nucleotide long non-coding RNA is filed under the name Citrus maxima (pomelo). RNAcentral's name for it is "long non-coding RNA (CMAX_LNC001213)". The record is from RNAcentral. Lineage: Eukaryota; Viridiplantae; Streptophyta; Magnoliopsida; Sapindales; Rutaceae.
GAUUAAUCAAUCCUACAUCCACGAGGCCACGCCCAGAUGAAAAGCAAUUCACUAAGUUGAGAUGUUACAACUUAUGAAUUUACCAAAUUUAAGACUCUCACUUACAGUUUAUCACUAUAUAAUUUACUCAACCUUAGACUGAAUCUGCUUCUCUUGAAUAAUUGCUAACCCUCUUGAUCCACGAUCCUCAAGCGACUUCACAAAGUGAUCAAUAGCAAUUCUUCAAUGUCCAGUGAUCCAAGAUCUACAUAAACUCUCCACAGAGAUGAAAAAAAGAUAAGAAAACAAAUCAGCACAACUUUAUGCGCCAAACCCGGAUUCUAUAGAGAGGAGGCCGAAUUUUAGCUUUCUGCUUUAUGCUCUAUGUUGUGCACCUUCAAUUGUGAAAUACCUCUCUUUAUAUAGGUACUAGAGUUUCACAAAAAUAGCAAGUCUUAAAAGACUUAGAUUAUUUACAAAUAAGAAUUUUUUUCCCUUUAUAAUUCUUAUGAAUCUGAAUAUGAAUAAAUCUGAUCUUCUUAACUUGUCUCUCAA